UACGUAGGGUGCAAGCGUUGUCCGGAAUUAUUGGGCGUAAAGAGCUCGUAGGCGGCUUGUCGCGUCGACCGUGAAAACUUGUGGCUCAACCAUGAGCUGGCGGUCGAUACGGGCAGGCUGGAGUUCGGUAGGGGAGACUGGAAUUCCUGGUGUAGCGGUGAAAUGCGCAGAUAUCAGGAGGAACACCGGUGGCGAAGGCGGGUCUCUGGGCCGAUACUGACGCUGAGGAGCGAAAGCGUGGGGAGCGAACAGG
Molecule: ribosomal RNA, 253 nt
Filed under: uncultured bacterium
Lineage: Bacteria
Description: partial 16S ribosomal RNA
Rfam family: Bacterial small subunit ribosomal RNA
Source: RNAcentral